This is a long non-coding RNA of Paramisgurnus dabryanus, 1045 nucleotides long. RefSeq lists it as uncharacterized. NCBI's taxonomy places the organism in Eukaryota, Metazoa, Chordata, Actinopteri, Cypriniformes, Cobitidae. The record is from RefSeq and is a predicted model, not a curated record.
AGAGCACCUAUUAUGGGAUACACGUUUUUAAACAUCCUUUUGUGUGUAAGUGUGCAUUAGUACAUGCUAACGAUAUUCAAAAAGUACAUACCUCAAAGAAAACGAUGACGCGAGUUAUCGUCUCUAACGUUCGAGGACUACAAAAAACACUCGGAUUGUAGGCAACAGUUUACUUCCUGGGAUUAGUGACGUAGAUAAGACCAACAUUAUCAUAGUUCAGCCCUCUCUGCUUUGCUUGGGUACGCCCUCAAAGACGAGGGUGGGGAGCGCCGAGUCAGAAGAGAGCUAAAAUGGCGGAGGUUGUGAGUCCCUGCUUUGACUGUUUGCAAACUCUUGUUUCAUUGUUUAAGCGAUUAAAUCUCUCGAGUAGACGCUGUCUCUUUAGAUGCGAGGGAAAAAUAGCACUUUAUGGACUUCCACAGAGGACAUCAUGUUUAAUACGGUUCCGGAAAAAUCCAGUCAGAAGUUGUUCACGGAGUUUUCACAAUAACUGCUUCUCAUGAACCGAAGCUGGAUUUGCGCGACGUCUCCUCUUGAAAGUUGGAUUACUGUGCACUUCUGGAUCACAGGCUAUUCGCAGCUGUACACAUCCUUCUACACUGUAUGCAAACAUGCAACAUCAUAACACACAGUACAAGGAGUCAGACUGGCAUAUGAGGAGCAAAGGAACCCAGGCAGUAGCAUCGUUUCACAAUGUUUCCAUCACCAUCAUCAGUGGAUGCCUUUGCCGUCCGUAGCCUGAGAUUUCAGAUUUGCAGCAAAAUUUUUUUGAUUUUCUCAUUUAUUGGAAUGCUGUGCAGGUAUUUGUACCUUGCAGCCAUCCAUUACAAUGUCACCAAGCCGUAACAAAAGCAGGAGAGGGAAAGUACAAGGCUAUGUUCCCAAAACACACAAGUGACAUACCUUAUGUGGAGGAUGUGAUCAGGCUUGUGUUUGAUGAGGUAUUUGAAGAUAAGCUGAAGGAAGCCCUGAUUCCAAUGGACCUGGCAUCACAGUUUGAGAGACCUUCAAAGGAGGACGUGAUUGCAUGCCAUCUUCAGUGCAG